Molecule: ribosomal RNA, 252 nt
Filed under: uncultured bacterium
Lineage: Bacteria
Description: partial 16S ribosomal RNA
Rfam family: Bacterial small subunit ribosomal RNA
Source: RNAcentral
UACGUAGGGGGCAAGCGUUGUCCGGAAUUAUUGGGCGUAAAGCGCGCGCAGGCGGUCGUUUAAGUCUGGAGUUUAAACCUAGGGCUCAACCUUGGGUCGCUCUGGAAACUGGGGGACUGGAGUGUAGGAGAGGAAAGUGGAAUUCCACGUGUAGCGGUGAAAUGCGUAGAGAUGUGGAGGAACACCAGUGGCGAAGGCGACUUUCUGGCCUAUAACUGACGCUGAGGCGCGAAAGCGUGGGGAGCAAACGGG